RNAcentral lists this ribosomal RNA (434 nucleotides) under uncultured bacterium. Its description in RNAcentral is "partial 16S ribosomal RNA". It matches the Rfam family "Bacterial small subunit ribosomal RNA", at positions 29 to 507 of the family's 1533-position model. The record is from RNAcentral.
AGCGAACGCUGGCGGCAGGCCUAACACAUGCAAGUCGAACGAACCUUUCGGGGUUAGUGGCGGACGGGUGAGUAACACGUGGGAACGUGCCUUUAGGUUCGGAAUAACUCAGGGAAACUUGUGCUAAUACCGAAUGUGCCCUUCGGGGGAAAGAUUUAUCGCCUUUAGAGCGGCCCGCGUCUGAUUAGCUAGUUGGUUGAGGUAAUGGCUCACCAAGGCGACGAUCAGUAGCUGGUCUGAGAGGAUGAUCAGCCACAUUGGGACUGAGACACGGCCCAAACUCCUACGGGAGGCAGCAGUGGGGAAUCGUGCGAAAUGGGCGAAAGCCUGACGCAGCCAUGCCGCGUGAAUGAUGAAGGUCUUAGGAUUGUAAAAUUCUUUCACCGGGGACGAUAAUGACGGUACCCGGAGAAGAAGCCCCGGCUAACUUCGUG